ACGCUCUGGAAACGGAGAACAAAUCCCGAUGUACAGGAAGGAGGCAUCUUCUUUCUGUGAAACAUCCUUUAGGGGAUGGGGCGCGGAUGGACCUGCGGUGCAUUAGUUGGUUGGCGGGGUAAAGGCCCACCAAGACGAUGAUGCAUAGCCGGCCUGAGAGGGCGGACGGCCACAUUGGGACUGAGACACGGCCCAGACUCCUGCGGGAGGCAGCAGUAGGGAAUUUUCGUCAAUGGGCGCAAGCCUGAACGAGCGAUGCCGCGUGAGUGAAGAAGGCCUUCGGGUCGUAAAGCUCUGUUGCGGGGGAAAAAAGGCAGCAUCAGGAAAUGGGUGCUGACUGAUGGUGCCCCGCCAGAAAGUCACGGCUAACUACGUGCCAGCAGCCGCGGUAAUACGUAGGUGGCGAGCGUUAUCCGGAAUGAUUGGGCGUAAAGGGUGCGCAGGCGGUCCUGCAAGUCUGGAGUGAAACGCAUGAGCUCAACUCAUGCAUGGCUUUGGAAACUGGAGGACUGGAGAGCAGGAGAGGGCGGUGGAACUCCAUGUGUAGCGGUAAAAUGCGUAGAUAUAUGGAAGAACACCAGUGGCGAAGGCGGCCGCCUGGCCUGUUGCUGACGCUGAGGCACGAAAGCGUGGGGAGCAAAUAGGAUUAGAUACCCUAGUAGUCCACGCCGUAAACGAUAAGGACCAAGUGUUGGGG
RNAcentral lists this ribosomal RNA (697 nucleotides) under uncultured bacterium. Its description in RNAcentral is "bacterial SSU rRNA". It matches the Rfam family "Bacterial small subunit ribosomal RNA", at positions 145 to 828 of the family's 1533-position model. The record is from RNAcentral.